Molecule: ribosomal RNA, 492 nt
Filed under: uncultured bacterium
Lineage: Bacteria
Description: partial 16S ribosomal RNA
Rfam family: Bacterial small subunit ribosomal RNA
Source: RNAcentral
AGUGAACGCUGGCGGUAGGCCUAACACAUGCAAGUCGAACGGCAGCACAGUAAGAGCUUGCUCUUACGGGUGGCGAGUGGCGGACGGGUGAGGAAUACAUCGGAAUCUACUUUUUCGUGGGGGAUAAUGUAGGGAAACUUACGCUAAUACCGCAUACGACCUACGGGUGGAAGCAGGGGAUCUUCGGACCUUGCGCGAUUGAAUGAGCCGAUGUCGGAUUAGCUAGUUGGCGGGGUAAAGGCCCACCAAGGCGACGAUCCGUAGCUGGUCUGAGAGGAUGAUCAGCCACACUGGAACUGAGACACGGUCCAGACUCCUACGGGAGGCGGCAGUGGGGAAUAUUGGACAAUGGGCGCAAGCCUGAUCCAGCCAUACCGCGUGGGUGAAGAAGGCCUUCGGGUUGUAAAGCCCUUUUGUUGGGAAAGAAAAGCAGCAGGUUAAUACCCCGCUGUUCUGACGGUACCCAAAGAAUAAGCACCGGCUAACUUCGUG